GAUUCAAAUAUAACUUUAAGACGACAUUAGAUAAUUAAAGCUGCUCAAAACACGUGAUGCAUAUAACUCUGUUUAAUUAACAAAGGAUGCGAGCCCACAAAAGGAAAAAAGAAUUUCAUAACAAAACAAAUCUGAGAACAUUUAUGGGUAACAUACCUCGCCGCACAAGGACUAAAUUUAGAAGAAGAAGAGUCUGAAUAAGUGCUGGAAAUCAAUGAAUUAGCGGUCAACAAAGGUAAAAUUAACAAACGCAGCUUCAGUUCUAGCUGAAUACGGCUACACCAACAAACAGUGACAAAAAUCAAAAAUUCCACAGCGCAAAACGAAUUUUAGAGAAACUCGAGAAGAAAAAAAAUUGAAAACGCUGCUCAAGGACUGUUUGCGAGUCCAUUAACGAGCAACUCGUUAGCUUGGAGCUAGCAGAAAUAGCUUUUUUCUUUGGAGAAGCCAAGUGAAUUCACCGGAAAUUCGGACACUAAGUUGGGCUCGCGCAUUGUACCACUGUUACCAAGUCCAAACCUUUUCUUUUGUUUCUCGUUCGUUCCUUUUUCACACCUUUUUCCCAUUUCCUUUUUUUGUGUGUGUGUCUGUGCUCUAGAUGAUGAAAGAAUGAGGAGAACCAGUGAGAGUAAGAAUGGAGAAUAAGAGGUCGGUCGCUAGGGUUCAAUAAUCUAUUUUUUGAGAUGGGAUCUGUUGUGUUAUAGAGGGGAAGGAAUAGCUAGGGCU
Molecule: long non-coding RNA, 726 nt
Filed under: Nicotiana benthamiana
Lineage: Eukaryota; Viridiplantae; Streptophyta; Magnoliopsida; Solanales; Solanaceae
Description: long non-coding RNA (NBEN_LNC042250)
Source: RNAcentral